This 3809-nucleotide long non-coding RNA is filed under the name Xyrichtys novacula (pearly razorfish). Lineage: Eukaryota; Metazoa; Chordata; Actinopteri; Labriformes; Labridae. The record is from RNAcentral.
GACAGGAGUUUGUAUGAGAGGGUUUUCAUUGUAGUUGUCAAACUAUCAGGACAAGGGAAAUAACACUACACCACGCAGACGCCAUCAGUUAACACGUUUAGCUAGGAUUGCAACUUCUUUCAUUUAAGCAAAACGAGGACAACAUAACUGACAUAACUUUGCUGUAUUUACAGUGCCUUGAUGAGAAUCAAGAGUCAUUGCAUAGAGAGAACACGUUUUGAUGACUGGUAUUGGGCUAAAAAAAAUCCUGAAAACAAUCAAAUUAAAACAUAAAAGAUUUUUUUCAGUGCAUAAAUGAAUGGGCAACACUGUAGUGUCGUUGCAAUUUACCAGGGUAUGAUGUACUUUUCCAUACCGGAAACCAGCUAAACCGGGCCAAGCAUACUACAUAAUAACGGCUGACUUGCGGUCAUACUGCAUACUACUAUUGAACACAGCACUCAGUUUGCAGUAUGUACAGCAUACUGAGUAUGCAGUAGAUACCGAGUAGGUCUGAGUAGGUUGGCAGGAGUAUGCAGUAGGCCAAUUCAAAAAAAAACACCCAUACUCAUAAUUAAUAACAUCUAUAACCGGGCUUGAGUGGGAGGUGGACUCAGGUAGAGGCUCAACUCAAACUCAAGGUUUUUUGUGAUCUGACUGCAACAUUGCCUACAACUCCUGAGACCAAACUAAUGCACCAUAUAGAGUAAUAUAACUACAUCCAGGUUGGUGGUCAUUCUAUAGUUGCUGGGUGUUGAUUAUACACCGGUGGCAGUAGCUCAGGAGGUAGAGCGGUUGUCCAAUGAUUCAAAGGUUGGUGGUUCAAUUCCCCUCUAUCUCUAGUCUGCCUUUGUAUCCCUGGGCAAGACACUUAUCCCACCUUACUCCCAGUGUGUGUCUUCCACUGGUGUAUGAUUGUGACUGUUGUGUGGUGGUGGUCAGAGAGGUUGUAAGUGCAAACUGGCGGCCAUGUUUCUGUCAGUCUGCCCCAGGGCAGCUGUGACUACUAAGGUAGUUUACCAGCACCAGGCUGUGACUGUGUAAGCAAACGAAUGAUGUAUCCAAUGUAAAACGCUUUGAAAGUCUCUGAUAAAAAGCUCUAUAAAAUCUGAUACAUUAUCAUGUGUGUAUAAGUGUUGUUUGUAACUAGAACUGUAUGGCAUAAAUCUGCCCUUAAAGGUUGGUGUAUCAUUAUCUCUUUGCUGGGGGCUUCACUUUUUUUCGUAACGGGAUAGAGGCGUGUUGUCAAUGUUUACAUAUUGGCAGAAUUUGUCUUUGUGAGCUACUGAUGCUGCGAAGGAGAAUUGAAGGAAUGAACAAACAAGAAGUUUAUUUAUAAUGGCUUUAAAAAGAGAGACUCAUCAAUGAGAGAUGUGUGGCUUUUAAAGACCUGGUGACGUGUGUGCAGAAACACUGAAAGUCUAAUAUUUCCUGUGAAGAUGGGGUCACAUGCAUAUAUCACUGAAGUCAUUCACAGAUGAAUCUUAGCUCGUAUGAGUUUCUGCUACAGUCGAUGAAAACCAAUUUCAAUACCUGCUUGUUCUGAGAGACACUCAAUACGAUCAUUCAAAGACACUUGACCUCUAUUCCCAUGCUGUGAGGCUUGUUUAGCAUACAGUAUGUCAGGGUGAUAUAUUUCACAUUUUACUGCGCAACAUUUAUCUGAUGUCUCAUAACAGAGAGUGUCUACAAUAUGUGAUUAUAGUGUUGAAUUGCUUUGCUGAGACUUAUGUGUCGUCCUGUUUAUACAGCCUGCAUAUGAAAUACCUGAAUAUUAAGCGGUUUGCAGAUAAUCUAGAAAUGCAGCAUUACAAAGUUUUUACACGUAAUAACAUCAUAAGCUCAGUAGAUUUUCGCACAGAGGUUAGAAAUGAGAGUCAGAGCUAUGAGUGUGAAGCUGUGACUCAGCACUUUUCAGUUUCUGACCCACUUACAGCUUCAGGCAUCAACACGUUUUACAUUUUACCACAUCACGACUCGACAAAAACCUCUGAUGAGACAAAAACAGCAUCAAGAAUUCAGAGCCAGAGAUUUUCUGCAGACCCGAAGCCUUUUUAGGUGGAGAAAGAAAGAAAGUUUCAUCACAUCAACACAGCAGAUAAACCAGUGAAAUUAAAAUAUGAUUCGUGAAAUGUUCGCUGAAUACGCUAUAGAUAUUCUGGUCACCUGUGUCACUCAAAGGACAGACAAGCAGCUGUUUAUGUGAAAACAAGUACACCAAAAUGACAAAAACAAAGAACAACGGCGUAAAGCCUUUCCUAUUUUGGACUUUCUCCCCAAAACAAUGCUGACUCAUGUUUAUGAGUGAUGUUUUCAUGAGUUUAGCAGCGAUCCCAGCUGAAGGGAGGAUAAGGACAAUUAUACUUGGAGUUUGAGCUGGGUACAAGAUGUUUUUCACCAAACUGUGGCAAUCCUAGACUUUCAAACACAAACUACUUUUGAUCAUGUCUCUGUCAUGUAAUAGUUAAAACACACCAGCUGAGCUAUCUGCAAUAAAAAAGAGUGUAGAAGCCAAAUAAAUAUGGGCCUCUGCAGCAUGACUAAACUUAUGAAAACAUGUCAAAGCGUCUUACCUCUGACUGUCAUCCAGUAGCAAACACUAUCUUGGUACUUUAACUUCAUACACAGUAGCCACAAAUCAUCCACUUUGGAAACAAAAUCCUGAGUAACACUUUCAAAUACAGGAAGUGUGUGAUUUUCAGAAAGGGUUGUGUUACUUUGCGGACUCUACAAAACACAGUGAAGGUUAAAUAAGUCAAAAGAGCAGAAACACACGAGCACAGAGAAACAGAAGGAGGCUUGGUGAGACAUGCUGCUCUGCGGAUUUAAGGAGGAGAGGACCAGUUGUGUGAGAAUUAUAUCUCUGAAAGGGAACAAGGUGAGCAGAUCGGGGUCAUUUGUGAAUUAAAGAUGCAAAAUGAGUGAAAGGAGUCGGCGUGAUUAGCAUAUUAUACAACCUUUAAGCUUGUGAGAAUAGGAUAAUGUGAUGGUAGAGACAUUUUCUCAGACAGCACCUAGGAGUUGGCUUCUUGAUGCUUCUGAUACAGGCAGCAGUAAGCAUUAACUGAGACCUGGUUCUGGUUUCCUCAUCUCUGUGUUGUCUUCGUUCAAUGCCUGAACACCAUCACUUUUUGAUCCAGCUGUCAUCAGCUUACAAUUGCUUCAGCCUCUCUCUCUUGUUGUGCACAUUCUGUCCUUUGGUUUUUCAGACACACACCUGCUCCUCUCCCUGCUCUCCUCCUUCUCCCCCUCCUCUACCUGCUCUCCUCUCUCUUCCUCCUUCUCUCCUCUCUCCUCCUCCUCUUCCUGCUCUUCUCUCUCUUCCUCCUCCUCUCCCUGCUCUCCUCUCUCAUCCUCCUGCUCCGCUUUCUGCUUUCUCCACCUGUCACUGUGAAGAGCCACAACUUGCAGAUGUUCCUUAAUCUGAGCUGCUGCUGAUGAAGUGAAAGUGAGAGCUGCUUGGUACGCUCUGCUGUUAAGAAAGAGAGGGAGCUUCAUGUAACCCAUAAGACGUAACAAAGGUGCUCAUGGGGCCAAAAUCAUAAUUGGAAUUAAAAUGCGGUUAAUCGCUCAAGGCAGAGGCGAAAUGGGCCUGACUUCUUUGUGCAGAUUUCAGGUACAUGGCAUGUUAUCAGACAGUCUGGUGUUUCUUUAGCUGUUAAGAAUUCACCAUUGGAGUUAUCAAGUGUUGACAAAUCAGAAUCAAGUAUCUGACACAGCUGGGUCAAUCAAGAUUGAAGGCUUAAAGCUGCCAACUGAUCCCUAAAUACCUUAAUAGUUGAUUGUAGGGCUAUGAGACAAAUCGAUUAUCAAGUUUAUUCCCAAAGGUG